CCUACGGGAGGCAGCAGUGGGGGAUAUUGCACAAUGGGGGAAACCCUGAUGCAGCGACGCCGCGUGGGUGAUGACGCGCCUCGGCGUGUUAAGCCCUGUCAGCAGGGAAGAAAAUGACGGUACCUGAAGAAGAAGCCCCGGCUAACUACGUGCCAGUAGCCGCGGUAACACGUAGGGGGCAAGCGUUAUCCGGAUUUACUGGGUGUAAAGGGGGCGUAGACGGGGUUGUAAGCCAGUAGUGAAAGCCCGGGGCCCAACCCCGGGACUGCUCUUGAAACUGCGAGGCUAGAGUGCAGGAGGGGCAGGCGGAAUUCCUGGUGUAGCGGUGAAAUGCGUAGAUAUCAGGAGGAACACCGGUUGCGAAGGCGGCCUGCUGGACUGCAACUGACGUUGAGGCCCGAAAGCGUGGGGAGCAAACAGGAUUAGAUACCCGUGUAGUC
This 440-nucleotide ribosomal RNA is filed under the name uncultured bacterium. Its description in RNAcentral is "partial 16S ribosomal RNA". It matches the Rfam family "Bacterial small subunit ribosomal RNA", at positions 338 to 795 of the family's 1533-position model. The record is from RNAcentral.